AAUGCGCGAAUUCGCCCUUCUGGUCAUUUAGAGGAAGUAAAAGUCGUAACAAGGUUUCCUUCCCCCUAUGAAGCCUUUCGCAGCGACUUGAUAAAUAACUGCGUAGCCUGCUUUGCAGCCACACCACGAAAGUGCUAGGACUUGAUUAACUUCGAGUACCAGCAGCCAGAGUUCUAGGUCCACAGAUCAUGUAGUGGUGGUCAUUUAUGAUUGAGAAUGACCGGUCUUAACUAAUUCUAGUUAAGAAUCAACGUUCCGUAGGUGACCUGCGGAAGGAUCAUUAUUGAAAAAGGGAACCCUUCGGGGUUCAACCUAAACCCUUUGUCUUAAUUACCUGUUUCUUUGGCGGGCUUGCCCGUCAGAGUUUUCUCAAACCCAUUAUAAAUGUGUCAUCUGAAUAACAAAAUAAAUCAAACUUUCAACAACGGAUCUCUUGGUUCUGGCAUCGAUGAAGAACGCAGGAAAUGCGAUAAGUAAUGUGAAUUGCAGAAUUCAGUGAAUCAUCGAAUCUUGAACGCAUAUUGCGCCCUUUGGCAUUCCGAAGGGCAUACCUGUUCGACGUCAUUACACCCCUCAAGUCAAACUUUUCGGUUAACUUGGUGUUGGGCUUGCCGGAAGGCAUGCCUAAAAAUUAGCGAUGGUACGUUAAACCACGGAGCACAAAUGUCGUUACGUAGGGGGCACGGCACCAGCCUAAUAAUUAAUUCUCAAUGUUGACCUCGGAUCAGGUAGGAAUACCCGCUGAACUUAAGCAUUCAAUAAGCGGAGGA
RNAcentral lists this ribosomal RNA (770 nucleotides) under uncultured fungus. Its description in RNAcentral is "eukaryotic LSU rRNA". The stretch from base 414 to 564 matches the Rfam family "5.8S ribosomal RNA". The record is from RNAcentral. Lineage: Eukaryota; Fungi.